RNAcentral lists this ribosomal RNA (430 nucleotides) under uncultured bacterium. Its description in RNAcentral is "bacterial SSU rRNA". It matches the Rfam family "Bacterial small subunit ribosomal RNA", at positions 355 to 776 of the family's 1533-position model. The record is from RNAcentral.
UGAGGAAUUUUGCGCAAUGGGGGAAACCCUUCCUCAUCAACGCCGCGUGAGUGAAGAAGGCUUUCGGGUCGUAAAGCUCUGUCAAGAGGGAAGAAAGUGGGAGAUGGUAAUACUGUUUUCUAUUGACGGUACCUCUGAAGGAAGCACCGGCUAACUCCGUGCCAGCAGCCGCGGUAAUACGGGGGGUGCAAGCGUUAUUCGGAUUUAUUGGGCGUAAAGAGCGCGUAGGCGGUUUAUCAAGUCAACAGUGAAAGCCCUGGGCUCAACCUGGGAAGUGCAUUUGAAACUAGUAGACUUGAGUAUGGGAGAGGGAAGUGGAAUUCCUGGUGUAGAGGUGAAAUUCGUAGAUAUCAGGAGGAACACCGGUGGCGAAGGCGACUUCCUGGACCAAUACUGACGCUGAGGCACGAAGAAGGGAGGAGAAAACAGG